Molecule: unclassified non-coding RNA, 4480 nt
Filed under: Neodiprion lecontei (redheaded pine sawfly)
Lineage: Eukaryota; Metazoa; Arthropoda; Insecta; Hymenoptera; Diprionidae
Description: dipeptidyl peptidase 4, transcript variant X7
Source: RNAcentral
GGUUCGGUCCCCAUGUAAACUUUAACCACCACCGAAGCUCGCGGUGCAAUUGAUAUUAUUAAUCGGAUAUUGUAACAGAAAUUGAGCCACACUUGUCUCGCUAAUGGCAGACCCAGAUAAUAAUUACGACGACGAGGAGCUCGUUUCGACCAAUCCGAAUCAGAGGAACUGGAGGGGUAUCUUAAUCGCUCUGCUCGUUAUCAUUGCGGUUCUUGCUCUGAUUGUUACUUCAGUUGCACUGCUCACACCUCCCGAUGAGGGGCCAAGAGUUCGCGGAUCCCAUCUUCGCCUGGCAGAGGUCUUGUCUGGAGAUUUAUCGCCAUUGCUAUUCAAUGGAAGCUGGGUAAGCGGUCGCCAUAUUUGUUUUCGUGACCCUUCGGGUGGAAUUUCCCUGCUGGAUGCUUCCGAUCCGAACAUUACAUCGCACAGCUUAAUGCCGAACUCAACUUUCAGACGAUUGAACCCGGCGAAAUUCUCACUGUCUCCGGAUCACAAGUAUCUUCUACUGGCGCAAAACGUAAAGAAAUUAUUCCGGCAUUCGUAUCUCGCCCAGUACAUUAUCUAUGACGUGAACACGAGAGAAACAAUACCACUGACUCCUCAACCGGAGACCGAUGCUCAUCCCUAUCUGCUGUUGGCUCAAUGGACGCCGAGGGGUCACGGACUCGUCAUGAUUCAAGAUUACGACAUAUACUACCGGCCUAGUCCAUUCAGUAACACUGGGUACCGUGUCACCAAUUCGGCGAUACCGGGAAUAUUGUCAAACGGAUUACCGGACUGGUUGUACGAAGAGGAGAUCUUACGCAGCGCAGAAGCGAUAUGGAUGUCCAAAGACGGACACCUGAUGUUGUACGCGUCAUUCAACGAUUCGCUUGUACAAGAAAUGAAGAUUCCGUGGUUCGGAGAAGGGACGAAAACUUUGUACCCUGACAUCCGAUCUCUUCGCUAUCCGAAGUCAGCGCAGAACUGUUACCCAAGGAUCAAUUUGUUGCAGCCAGGAACUCCGAACCCGUCGAUACAAUUGAUUGUCGCUGAUUUGGCCGACCUGAAAAAUAUUCGAUCGAGAACAUUGCGGCCUCCGCCUGCCAUCGAGCAUGCGGAACACUACUUCACCACAGCUUCUUGGGUGUCAUUGACAGAAGUCUGCGUCACGUGGCUAACGCGGACGCAAAAUCUGUCCAUCAUAACCGUCUGCAAAAGUCCCAUGUGGCAUUGUCAGGAAAUUCAGCGCAUCGUCGGAGAAGGUCGAGGGUGGGUUGACACCCCGCCGGAAUCGCCGGUUUUUUCUACGGACGGAAGUAGCUACGUCGCCAUAAUACCCGUCCGCGAUGGCCCGUCCGGAUACUACAAACACAUAAUGUUGGCAAAUGUAUCGAAGAAGCGAGUUGUCCCGUUAACUCAUGGGAGAUACGAAGUGAUCCGCAUUCUGGCGUGGGAUCAAGUCAACAAUACGAUAUAUUUCAUAGGAAUACCGCAAGCACAUCCCGGACAAAGACAUUUGUACCGCGUCAAUUCUCAGCUACCUCACCUUGGCUCAUCUCUUCACUCGCCCGUUUGCAUCACUUGUACACCUGUGAUGAAUCCCGAAGCUCAAUACAAUUCGGACCGGCCAAGCAAGCACGCUGGUACUGAUAGUAACAAUAACAAUAAUAACGGUUAUCACACCUGGCCGGACAGCAGCGAUUGGGCGGAAUAUGAGCUGACCGAGUCUCAAAGCGCGGUUCAACCUCCCUUAGAAAAGCAGGAACGUCGAGGCAGCAAGAAAAAAACCACCACGAAAAAUUUGGAGACUUGCCAAUACCAUAACGCUGUCUUUUCCCCUGGAUUGGAUUACUUCGUAUUGGAAUGCCUCGGACCGAGCAUACCGACGGUCGCUCUGUACAAAACCGCCUUGCCAGAUCCGCGCUUUAUUGGACUUUUGCAGAACAACACCGAGCUUCGGGAAAGAGUAGAGAAAAUUGCUCUUCCCCAAGUAAAGACCUUCCCCGUACAAAUAAGUGGCGGUUAUAACGCCCAGGUACGUCUUCAUUUGCCGCCUGGUUUACGGGAGGAAGAAAUCACUCGCUACCCGAUGGUCGUCCAAGUGUACGGGGCGCCGGGUUCGCAGCUGGUGACAGAUAAAUUUAAAAUUGAUUGGAACACCUACCUGGCCAGCAGCAAGGGGGCAAUUGUGGCCCAAAUUGAUGGCCGAGGAAGCGGAGGCCAGGGCUAUCAAUUACUUCACGAAGUGUACUACAGAUUGGGAUCUGUCGAAGUGGCGGACCAGCUGGAAGUGACGGAGUACUUGAGGGAUUCGUUACAUUUUGUGGAUAAGAGACGAGUCGCUGUUUGGGGAUGGAGUUACGGGGGAUUUGUCGCCGCCUUAGCCUUAGCCCAAUCUGAUCAAGACGUUUUCCAAUGCGGAAUCAGCGUCGCCCCGGUUGUUUCGUGGAAACUUUACGAUUCGGCCUACGCCGAGAGGUACAUGGGCUCGCCGAAUGUAACCUCAAACUACAAGGGGUACGAGGAAUCCGACGUUUUUAAAAAGGUGGAACACUUGCGGAACAAAAUGUAUUACCUGGUCCACGGUACCGCUGACGACAACGUGCAGUUUCAACAAAGCAUGGCUCUCGCCGGCCAUCUUGCCAAAAAGGGGAUUCUAUUCCGUCAGCAAGUUUAUCCCGACGAGAGUCACGGCUUGGCCGGCGUGAAGAGACAUCUUUACCUAUCAAUGGCUCAGUUUUUAGAAGACUGUUUCCACAAGCAAGUACCCGUUGACACGAAGGCCGGAUUGGGAAGCGGCGGAGGAUACGGGAUAUAAGCUGACGGAACGAAAUUGAUACUGGAGCGAUAUAUAUUUUUUGGGCCCCACGAAUAUGCAAUCCAUAUUAUAUACACGAGUUAGACGUCGAAGAAAGAACCUGCUAUCUACAAAGCACGGUUUAAUAUCCUCACUCGCAGUACCAAACUAAAUCAUGAAUAUUUUUAACGUUCGUAAUCGACGUAUAGCAGUGAAAAUUUUCAAUAUAAUUACAGUGCACGUGCGGAUAAGUUUUCCAAUAGAACUGGCAGAUGGUUGAUAAUUAUAUGAUUAUUGUAGUGAAAGCGUUCGAAACGAUAAUAUAUAAUUUUUCUAAAUAAUAAUAAAGAUAUAUUAUAACGUAAUAAAGUAAGGUAACAAUCAGAUUUUAAACAAUCCAAAUUAAUCUCCAAGAUAACUAUAUAGAAGAGUAGUGAAAAGUUGAAUUCUUCUUCUUCCCUUCUAUGUCGUCUUUCACGCGUGUAAUGUGAUAUCAGCUCUUAGCAGAAAAUACACAAAAUUCUAUAUUUAUAUAUAAAAACCUUAUCGAUUAGAUCGAUCGUGUGUCGGGUGUACGGUAGCAUCCGGUUCGUGCUCGUUCGCCGUAUAGAUACGAAUGUUAAUCCCGAAAAGCAAAGCCAAGGAAGCGUUGCCACAAUACCUUCACGAAAUGGAACAUACCGGCUAGAAUGCAUACUUGGAUGAAUUAUGUCCACCGAUGUAUAAUAAUUCCGUUUUCACUCCGCGGCGGGUAUUUUCGUUACCCGUUUCCCGUCGUUGCGUUGUCUUGAAAAUUAUUGAAACCUCCCGUAUACCACGUAUAUGAGUACAAUUUCCUGCACGACUGCGCCAAAGUGUUGCGUCAAUCGAUAAGAAAAGAACCAUGUUUUUGAACUGCAGUGCUUUAUCGACCAAGGGUCUGCUUUAUUGCAGUUACUGCUAAAUUCUUUUAACGUAUAUAAUUCAUCAUGAUAUUGAAUUUAUAUAUUAUAAAGUAGUUAAUUAUUAUAGGAGACCUUAGUGUUGCAAUUAUUAUACAAUUAUAUAUAAAUUAGAAAGAGACAAAAAGAAAAACGAAAAAAAAAAAAAAUUUAUCUCAAAAAACAACAAAAACAUACAAUAAUAUCACGGAUCUAGUCUACGUAUAUAGGUCCGUGAAUAAUAUAUACACAUGUUAGGCAAUAAUUUUAAGAUAAUUUAUUGUAAAUAUUACGAAGGAAUAAUUUACACAAUCCUGCUCUAUAAUUCCUAGUUAAUUGACACAAUAACAAUAAUACUAUUAAUAGGUGAAAAUGUGUAAAUAAUUACGAACGCGAUGUAUUAUUAUUAUAUGAUGGAUGCGUCAAUGAAACUAUUACAUAACUAUCUGAUAACUUUAGCGGAGAAAAAAACAAAAAUUAUCUAGAUACUGUGAAGGAAAACAAUGAUGAUAUUUAAUAGUUACCGUAGCUAGUUUAGUAGCAGAAAUUAUUUCUGUCGUACCAAUCGUUGGAAGUAUAAUGAAAUUUAUAAUAAUCUAUAAUUGCAAUAUUUACAAACAAAUGAUCGGUGUUUGAAUUAAUAUAAUACCUACGGCGCGGGUCGCGUAUAUUAAUUAUCUUAUUCGCAGAACAUACUAUAAUAAUUAUUUAUUCAUGCAGUACUAUGAUGUAUUGUUAAAGUUAUUAUUACUAUAAUAAAAUUCUACUUUUGUGACUGUCA